AUUACAUAAUGGCCACUUUGUCAGUGUCACAAAUCUCACUUUAAAAUUUUAUAAAUUUCUCUGCUUCUGUUAUACAAUGGCUUUACCGGUGCGGAUUCUUUCACGUUGCAAAGAGAGCGUAAAGCUUGGCAACAUCAGAUUUCCGUACAGCACGAGUGCAACACCUUAUGCUGAAACCAGGAAGAACUUGGUACUGACAUCAGAAACUAAAGUCAUUGUACAGGGCUUCACCGGCAAACAGGGUACAUUCCACAGCCAGCAGGCACUAGAUUAUGGCACUAAAGUGGUCGGUGGAGUCUCUCCUAAGAAGGCGGGGUCGGAACAUCUGGGCAAGCCGGUCUUCGGCACCGUGAGGGAGGCUAAGGAGAAAACAGGAGCAGAUGCAUCCGUCAUCUACGUACCGCCCCCUGGCGCAGCGGCUGCCAUCUUGGAAGCUAUUGAAGCAGAGGUUCCACUGAUUGUUUGCAUCACUGAAGGAGUACCUCAGCAUGACAUGGUGCGUGUAAAACAUGCCCUGCUCCGUCAGAACAAGUCAAGAUUGGUGGGUCCCAACUGCCCUGGUAUUAUUGCACCAGGCAAGUGCAAAAUCGGCAUCAUGCCCGCCGCUGUCCACAUGCAGGGGUGCAUCGGUGUUGUCUCCCGAUCUGGCACACUCACAUACGAAGCUUGCCACCAAACCACUGUGGCCGGUCUCGGGCAAACUCUGUGCGUCGGUAUCGGAGGUGAUCCGUUCAACGGUACAGACUUCAUCGACUGCCUAGAAGUGUUCCUGAAGGAUCCCAACACCAAGGGGAUUAUUCUCAUCGGUGAGAUUGGUGGCAACGCCGAGGAGUUGGCUUCGGAGUACUUGACUCAACACAACACUAGCAAGGGUCAAAAAGCCAAGCCAGUAGUGUCAUUCAUCGCUGGGCUGACCGCUCCACCCGGACGACGAAUGGGCCACGCCGGCGCCAUCAUUUCCGGCGGAAAAGGAGGCGCCAUGGACAAAAUCAAGGCUCUAGAAAAAGCUAACGUCAUUGUCACUCGCUCUCCCGCCAAAAUGGGCGUCGAACUACUCAAAGAGAUGAAACGAUUAGAAAUCGUCUAAAUUCUAAAAGUCAAAUACAAAUUUAAUUUGUAUAGUAUAUAGUUAUAUUGAAGUUAUUUAUUUAAUCGACGUGUUAAAAGUCCUAAGAAGUGGGUGAACUUGACACCAAACCUUGUCUAUUAAAUCUCAAUGUUGGCACUAAAUAUUAGCAGGGCACUUGUUAGUGUAAGCUUGUUGUCCAUAUUUGAUAAUUUAAGUAUUAAUUUUCAUAUAAAUUUACAGCUAAAAUAAAUCAUUGUAUGGUAUGUGUUGAAGUUAUAUUGUUAAAUUAAUGCUACAUGUGUAAUAAAUAUACUCUUAUUACCUCAGAGAAAUGUUUCUAUUGUAUUAUUUAUAUGUAUUUAUUAUAAUUAAUUAAACUUCUUUGUAUAGUAUA
Molecule: RNA transcript, 1463 nt
Organism: Aricia agestis (brown argus)
Lineage: Eukaryota; Metazoa; Arthropoda; Insecta; Lepidoptera; Lycaenidae
Gene: Scsalpha1
Gene name: succinate--CoA ligase [ADP/GDP-forming] subunit alpha, mitochondrial
Exons: 7
Source: RefSeq, a predicted model, not a curated record